RNAcentral lists this small RNA (686 nucleotides) under Pongo abelii (Sumatran orangutan). RNAcentral describes it as "retained intron". The record is from RNAcentral. Lineage: Eukaryota; Metazoa; Chordata; Mammalia; Primates; Hominidae.
CAGAGAAGACCGCAGGAUGUGCAAAGAUGAGGAUGAGUGUGAAGAGGGAAAACAUGACUGUACUGAAAAACAAAUGGAAUGCAAGAACCUCAUUGGCACAUACAUGUGCAUCUGUGGACCUGGGUAUCAGCGGAGACCUGACGGAGAAGGCUGUGUAGAUGAGAAUGAAUGUCAGACGAAGCCAGGGAUCUGUGAGAAUGGGCGCUGCCUCAACACCCGUGGGAGCUACACCUGUGAGUGUAAUGAUGGGUUCACCGCCAGCCCCAACCAGGAUGAGUGCCUCGGUGAGUACAGUCGGCAGCGCACUUUCCUAACCUCAGCCUCCACACUGGGAUGCCAGAAACCCACACUUCUUAUUUGAAAUACAAGAAAAUGUCAAAAUCUGAGGAAGGAUAAAAAAUGUUCAUAUUUUGGAGAUGCCGUAGUGACUGUGAUUGUCCAUUGGGCUUAGCACCACCCUGCAGCUAAGUUCUUCCUUUGCUAAUUGGAUCCUGAAUCACUUGUUUGGAAUUUCUUGGCUGCCUUUGAAGCCCUUGGUGAUCAGGAUCCACUUCCAUAUGUUUCUCUGCCCCUCUCUCUGUAAGCAUGGCUAUUCCCCUGUAUUUCUGGGAGCAGAGAGAGUUAUAAGCUUGUCUAGGCCAAUGUCUUUCUGCCUACUUACUGAAUGUCUUAUUUGUUUCCCUCAG